This 409-nucleotide ribosomal RNA is filed under the name Halomonas sp. e4. RNAcentral's name for it is "bacterial SSU rRNA". It matches the Rfam family "Bacterial small subunit ribosomal RNA", at positions 1047 to 1455 of the family's 1533-position model. Lineage: Bacteria; Pseudomonadati; Pseudomonadota; Gammaproteobacteria; Oceanospirillales; Halomonadaceae. The record is from RNAcentral.
GGCUGUCGUCAGCUCGUGUCGUGAGAUGUUGGGUUAAGUCCCGCAACGAGCGCAACCCUCGUCCUUAGUUGCCAUCAUUUAGUUGGGCACUUUAAGGAAACUGCCGGUGAUAAGCCGGAGGAAGGUGGGGAUGACGUCAAGUCCUCAUGGCCCUUACAGGCUGGGCUACACACGUGCUACAAUGGCAUCUACAGUGAGCAGCGAUCCCGCGAGGGUUAGCUAAUCUCCAAAAGAUGUCUCAGUUCGGAUUGUUCUCUGCAACUCGAGAGCAUGAAGGCGGAAUCGCUAGUAAUCGCGGAUCAGCAUGCCGCGGUGAAUACGUUCCCAGGCCUUGUACACACCGCCCGUCACACCAUGGGAGUUGGAUUCACCCGAAGGUGGUGCGCUAACCUGCUGCAGGAGGCAGCCA